RNA transcript from Arachis stenosperma, 2664 nucleotides. It is a transcript of the gene named KH domain-containing protein At4g18375-like, with no coding region annotated. The record is from RefSeq and is a predicted model, not a curated record. Lineage: Eukaryota; Viridiplantae; Streptophyta; Magnoliopsida; Fabales; Fabaceae. The transcript is spliced from 8 exons.
CGAUGGCAACGGGUCGGGCAUGGUUGAUCCAAGUCGAAUUUAUCAAGUGUGGAUGUGGAGAAGGGAAACCCCGCCUACGGCUCUCAGAAAUCAGAAUCCUCCACUGCGGUCUCCCAACCCUUCCCCUUCCCCUUCCCUCUCUUCUCUCUCUCUCUCUCUCUCUCUCUCGUUAGGGUUUUACGAAAUUGGUUCUUUGUUCUCUCGCCGUCAUAAUCAGGAGUUGUUAUGUUAUUUCCGCGAAUGGGUGAGACUGGAAAACGGUAUCAUUCACAGAGAGACCAUGACGGGGACAGAAGGAAUCAGAAGAGACGAAUGAACGAUGAUGCUGAAAAGGGAGACGGUGAAUUGGUUGUUUAUAGGAUACUCUGCCCAGAUGAUGUUAUUGGCAGUGUUAUUGGUAAGAAUGGAAAAGUGAUUAAUUCAAUAAGGCAAGAAACCAGGGCAAAAAUAAAGAUUGUGGAUCCCUUUCCCGGUGCCAAGGAUCGUGUUAUAACAAUCUACUGCUAUGUCAAGGGCAAGGAAGAUGUUGAGAUUGAUGAUGAGUUCAAUGGUAAGGAGCUUCUGUGUGCUGCACAAGACGCACUUCUCAAGAUUCAUGCUGCCAUUACGAAUUCCACUGCUGUAAUUGGAGAAUGGAGGAAAAAGCGAAAGGCUAAGGAGGAGUGUCAACUCCUUGUGCCAUCAAGUCAGGCUGCAAAUAUCAUUGGGAAGGCUGGGGCUACCAUUAAGAAGCUGAGGAGUAAGACGACAGCCAAUAUCAAAGUUGUUGCUAAGGAUGCGGCUGACCCGACACACUCCUGUGCUAUGGAUUUUGAUAAUUUUGUUUUGAUCACUGGUGAGGCAGCAGCAGUGGAAAGGGCCCUAUUUGCUGUUUCUUCUAUUAUGUACAAGUUCGGUCCCAAGGAAGACAUCUCUCUUGACACAUCUGUGCCAGAAGCCCCACCUAGCAUUAUUAUUCCUUCUGAACUUCCAAUUUAUCCACCUGGUGGACUAUAUCCAGUUUCAGACCCUAUUAUCCCACCUAGAUCCCUUCCUCAAAUUUUAGGUGCUACAAACAUGCGAGAUGUACAUGGUUAUGCUGAUGCAGGAAAUACAUGGCCUAUAUACUCAUCUGCCCUUCCAGCCGCUCCUGGGGCUCUUCCAGCAGCUUCUGGUGUAGGUGCUUCUCGUUCUGAGGAAUUAGUCAUUAGAAUGUUGUGUCCCUCGGACAAGAUUGGGCGAGUCAUUGGAAAAGGAGGGAGUACAAUUAAAAGUAUGAGGCAAGCGAUUGGUGCUCGAAUUGAAGUUGAUGAUUCGAAGGCAAAGCACGAUGAGUGUUUAAUCAUUAUAACAACGAUUGAGUCACCAAGUGAUCUGAAGUCUAUGGCAGUUGAAGCUGUUCUAUUGAUGCAAGGGAAGAUAAACGAUGAAGAUGAUAGCACGGUUUCGAUUCGGCUUCUAGUUCCAUCCAAAGUAAUAGGUUGUAUCAUUGGGAAAAGUGGUUCGAUUAUUAAUGAAAUUCGGAAGAGAACUAAAGCAGAUAUUCGAAUUUCUAAAGGUGAUAAACCAAAAUGUGCAGAUGUGAACGAUGAACUUGUUGAGGUGGGAGGCAUAGUUGAUUGUGUGAGAGAUGCGCUAAUCCAGAUUAUCUUAAGACUGAGAGAAGAUGUGUUGAGAGAAAGAGACAAUGGCCACAAUCCCUCUGUUGGUGCUGAAUCCAUGUACUCUGGUGGUGCUGGACUUUCAGUGCCAUCUGUCCUACCUCCAGUCCCUCCUGUUGCCACACCAUUGGCUUAUGAUCAGAGGACUGAAAGUGAAACUGGCCUUGGAAUGUUUUCUUCAAGCAGCCUGUAUGGAUAUGGAUCUUUGUCGAUGGCAGAGAAUGCCUAUGGAUCGAUGCCCCCGUACGCCAGCAAGCUGUAUGGAGGGUUGUCUGCCUCCUCCAUCAACUUUGGAUAUGUUGAUUCCUGCUAGUGCUGUUAGUAAGGUUUUGGGUAAAGGAGGGGCAAAUAUAGCCAAUAUCAGGAAGAUUUCAGGAGCAAUGAUAGAAAUCUGUGACUCCAAGUCUGCCUGGGGUGAUCGUAUUGCUGUGAUAUCUGGCACACCUGAACAGAAGUGCGCAGCUGAAAACUUGAUCCAGGCUUUCAUAAUGGCCACCUGAAUUAUUGAGUUUCUUUCUCGGGGUUUUCGAAGGUGAAAAGUUUAAUUAUUGAAGCAUGUCUUUGUCCUGUCCAUAGUUUCAUUAGGUUGGUCCUGUAGAGAGAAUAUUCUCUGGUUCUUCAUCUGGAUUCAAGUUCUUCCAUAACAGCAGCUUGCAAGAUUGUGCCGGAGGAUCCAUUGAUGGUUUUUAUAUGUAGGAACGAUAGCUCCUCCUUUUUUCUUAAGCUACUCUCAUUACUAUGUUUUCUCUUAGAAAUCUAGGAUCUCCAUGUCCGUUUGGUACUGUCUUUUGCUAGCAUGGAGUCAUCGCUAUUUCCUCAAAUUAAUUUCGGAGGAACCGUAAAGAGGUGGUGAUGUUUAUGUGGUUCACCCUGUCUCUCCCCCGCUAAUAGAAAGUAUCUUCCCCAAUGAUGCAAAUGAGACUGAGUCUCUAUCACACUCAUUUGUUAUCGUUGCUUAUGCUAGUUGGUUGAAAGUUCUCAAGUUGCCUCAUGAAUUUGAAGGAUUUCAGAAAAUUCUGCAUCA